AGCUCCAAUAGCGUAUAUUAAAGUUGUUGCAGUUAAAAAGCUCGUAGUUGGAUCUCGGGUCCAGGCUUGUGGUCCGGCGCUGGCCGGUUACUACUCGUCCUGACCUACCUCCCGGUUUGCCCUUGGUGCUCUUGACUGAGUGUCUCGGGUGGCCGGAACGUUUACUUUGAAAAAAUUAGAGUGCUCAAAGCAGGCUUUUACGCCUGAAUAUUCGUGCAUGGAAUAAUAGAAUAGGAAGUCGUUUCUAUUUUGUUGGUUUUCGGAAAUCGACUUAAUGAUUAAUAGGGACAGUCGGGGGCAUUUGUAUUCAAACGACAGAGGUGAAAUUCUUGGACCGUUUGAAGACAAACUACUGCGAAAGCAUUUGCCAAGAAUGUUU
RNAcentral lists this ribosomal RNA (379 nucleotides) under uncultured eukaryote. RNAcentral describes it as "SSU rRNA". It matches the Rfam family "Eukaryotic small subunit ribosomal RNA", at positions 587 to 969 of the family's 1831-position model. The record is from RNAcentral.